Molecule: ribosomal RNA, 252 nt
Filed under: uncultured Bacteroidales bacterium
Lineage: Bacteria; Pseudomonadati; Bacteroidota; Bacteroidia; Bacteroidales
Description: partial 16S ribosomal RNA
Rfam family: Bacterial small subunit ribosomal RNA
Source: RNAcentral
UACGGAGGAUGCGAGCGUUAUCCGGAUUUAUUGGGUUUAAAGGGUGCGCAGGCGGAUUUUUAAGUCAGCGGUCAAAUCGCGGGGCUCAACCCCGCUCCGCCGUUGAAACUGUGUCCCUUGAGUGCGCGAAGGGUAGGCGGAAUGCGUGGUGUAGCGGUGAAAUGCAUAGAUAUCGCGCAGAACUCCGAUUGCGAAGGCAGCGUACCGGCGCCAGACUGACGCUGAGGCACGAAAGCGUGGGGAUCGAACAGG